This 253-nucleotide ribosomal RNA is filed under the name uncultured bacterium. Its description in RNAcentral is "partial 16S ribosomal RNA". It matches the Rfam family "Bacterial small subunit ribosomal RNA", at positions 524 to 776 of the family's 1533-position model. The record is from RNAcentral.
UACGUAGGGUGCGAGCGUUGUUCGGAUUUAUUGGGCGUAAAGAGCUUGUAGGCGGUUUGUCGCGUCUGCUGUGAAAAUCCGAGGCUCAACCUCGGACUUGCAGUGGGUACGGGCAGGCUAGAGUGUGGUAGGGGAGACUGGAAUUCCUGGUGUAGCGGUGAAAUGCGCAGAUAUCAGGAGGAACACCGAUGGCGAAGGCAGGUCUCUGGGCCACUACUGACGCUGAGAAGCGAAAGCAUGGGGAGCGAACAGG